RNAcentral lists this long non-coding RNA (284 nucleotides) under Musa acuminata (dwarf banana). RNAcentral's name for it is "long non-coding RNA (MACU_LNC007048)". The record is from RNAcentral. Lineage: Eukaryota; Viridiplantae; Streptophyta; Magnoliopsida; Zingiberales; Musaceae.
GAAUCUGGUAGGGAUUGAAGCACAAUGUCCACACACAAGUUAUCCUCUAGGACCAUUCCUAGACCUGUGAGUUUCUCUAUCCACUCAAUCAUCUUUAGGACAUGGUUCUGAACCGGUGUCCCCUCAGUCAUCCUAGCGCGGAAAAGGCUCUUGGAUAUCUCAUAUCGUUGAGUCCUUCCCUGUUCCUCAAACAAUUUGCGGACAUGUAGGAGAAUGGAUCUGGCAUCCAUCUUUUCAUGUUGUCUCUGUAACUCAGGAGUUAUAGAGCCCAACAUAUAGCACUG